UUUUGGUGUUGUGGCUGAGUACCUUUGGGCAGUGUUUUGCACCUCUGAGAGUGGAGUAACUCCUCCUGUGGAGUUGGUCCUAGUCUGGGUGCAAACAAUUUAUUUCUGUUAGAAAAGGACCCUGUCUUAAG
MicroRNA precursor from Equus asinus (donkey), 131 nucleotides. The record is from Ensembl. NCBI's taxonomy places the organism in Eukaryota, Metazoa, Chordata, Mammalia, Perissodactyla, Equidae.